CCUACGGGAGGCAGCAGUGGGGAAUAUUGGGCAAUGGGCGCAAGCCUGACCCAGCAACGCCGCGUGAAGGAAGAAGGCUUUCGGGUUGUAAACUUCUUUUGUCAGGGAAGAGUAGAAGACGGUACCUGACGAAUCAGCCACGUCUAACUACGUGCCAGCAGCCGCGGUAAUACGUAGGUGGCAAGCGUUGUCCGGAUUUACUGGGUGUAAAGGGCGUGUAGCCGGGUUGACAAGUCAGAUGUGAAAUCCUGCGGCUUAACCGCAGAACUGCAUUUGAAACUGUUGAUCUUGAGUACUGGAGAGGCAGACGGAAUUCCUAGUGUAGCGGUGAAAUGCGUAGAUAUUAGGAGGAACACCAGUGGCGAAGGCGGUCUGCUGGACAGCAACUGACGGUGAGGCGCGAAAGCGUGGGGAGCAAACAGGAUUAGAUACCCCAGUAGUC
Molecule: ribosomal RNA, 442 nt
Filed under: uncultured bacterium
Lineage: Bacteria
Description: partial 16S ribosomal RNA
Rfam family: Bacterial small subunit ribosomal RNA
Source: RNAcentral